GUGUGUUCCCUGAGACAGGCUGUAGUUUGCCCACAGAUGUUCUUCAGACCUGGUGUCAGGAAGAGCUCUCUUCUUACAAGCUGAACUUUCCCAAAGGGGAAUGAGCUCCCUUGGGAGAUUGUGCACUUCCUCUCCUUGGAAGACUUCAGUCAAAGGCUGAGUGACCACUGUUUGGUUGUUCUGAAAGUCGGUGAGUCUAACAUCCCUAAAGGAUAACAGUUCCUGCAGCGGAGACCUAGAAAGCUCUGACCUAGGCACUGGAGUAAAAGGACUGAGUAAACUAGAGUGCCUUCCUCCACGGAGCUUCCAGGUCACCCAGGAGGAGUAAAGGCACCAAUGGGCACUUACCAGAAAGAGUCCAAGAUGGCCUCACCUAAUGAGAAUCAGGAUGAGAAAGAAAGCAGAACCAAAUCCAGCAGAGCCAGGGAGAAACAUAGGAACCCAUCACUGGAGCAGUAAUGGAGGAAAAUCCAAGGAGGAAGGGUCUGCAGCAGGGAAUGCUUCAGUGAGGACAUACUGGCCUUCGGCGUGGCUGGCAGAAAUCUGGGAUCGUGGCUCCCUCCGACCAGGUAUGAUUUCCAGAAUAUGAAUCAAAAGCACAAUGGGAGAAGCCUGUGACUCAGCUGUUCAACAUCUCAUUGCCUGAAAGGCCCUGAGUGCCAUUUGAAGUGGUAAGCACCCUCCUAGGCCUCCUUCUCCCCCCUCCCAAGGAUAGAG
Molecule: long non-coding RNA, 717 nt
Filed under: Monodelphis domestica (gray short-tailed opossum)
Lineage: Eukaryota; Metazoa; Chordata; Mammalia; Didelphimorphia; Didelphidae
Description: lncRNA (ENSMODG00000032366.2)
Source: RNAcentral